RNAcentral lists this ribozyme (173 nucleotides) under Anopheles stephensi (Asian malaria mosquito). RNAcentral describes it as "drz-agam-2-2 ribozyme". It matches the Rfam family "drz-agam-2-2 ribozyme". The record is from Rfam by way of RNAcentral. Lineage: Eukaryota; Metazoa; Arthropoda; Insecta; Diptera; Culicidae.
AGCAAUACCGCACUGAUACGGGUAUGGUCCGACGCCUCUUGAAGGAUAAUAUAGGAUCUCCAUACUCUCUACUCCAACUCAAUACGUCCACGGCGUCUCCAAUAAUCUGAGCUUGGGUACACAGGGAAAUGCAACCCCUUGGGAGGAUGGGUCAUAUGGCUGAAUUGAGCGGG